Molecule: ribosomal RNA, 426 nt
Filed under: Triticum aestivum (bread wheat)
Lineage: Eukaryota; Viridiplantae; Streptophyta; Magnoliopsida; Poales; Poaceae
Description: partial small subunit ribosomal RNA
Source: RNAcentral
AUGGGCAAGGUAGGUACCUGUAGCUCGAUGCGUCGAACCCAGCCUGAUUUCUCGAGCGAGUGUACGGCGGUGACUGGUUCAUUCCCCCACCUUUGUUCUUUCCAGGCCAGCGAUGAUGGCGCGUCAUUCCGUGCGGCGGCGACGAGAAUCCUGCGUCCGGCGGUGCUUCGUGGGGAGGAGCUUCACCGGGCCAUCUCAGCCAUUCAGAGGACCUACGCCUCGCCACAGGCCACCGAAAACGCUGAGCAUAAGCUGCACGAUGUUGUGAUUGAAAUCCCCAACCGGCUUCCGCAGAGGUGUUGUACAGAGAUAACGGAUUGGUAUACUUGCAAAAAAAAUUCAUGGAAUUAUAUUUCUUUGGCUGUGCAUGUAGGAAAUUUGCUAUAUAUUUCACUUACAACCAAUGGUAUGUACGUAGAGGAUUAG